Molecule: long non-coding RNA, 3249 nt
Filed under: Homo sapiens (human)
Lineage: Eukaryota; Metazoa; Chordata; Mammalia; Primates; Hominidae
Description: HSALNT0171694
Source: RNAcentral
UUAAUACUUGCUUGGACCAGUGUAAGCAUGCCAGGGCAAAUAUUUAGGCUAAAUUGUGGGAGCUAAGAACACAAAGUACAUUGAUUUCUUUAUUAUAGCUAGCAGAUAUCUAAGAAUGUUAGCACAGGUCUUUGAAUAAAUUUUGUUUCUGAGAGAAGUUACUAUUUAUUCCUAAUUAGACGGGGAGGAAAGUCUCUUUGAAGAGGAACCUCUAUUUUAUUUUUACACUCAGAAGCCCGGGCAGCUCUGCCGGGAGUGCAGGGAGGCAGCUCUCCUGGGGGUGCAGAACACAUUGGAUACACCGGUUAUUUUACCAAGGCUUUGGCUGGAAUGUUACAUUUUUGAAUGUGACCAAACUGCUUUGAGGAAUUGAGGCUGACUUUAUAAAGCCAAUAGACAUGGGAAAGACUGGCCUCAUGCCUUGCCCACACGGUUCUCUUACAAGGUUCCUCAGCUUGCGAUCUAAACAGAAAAAAAUAUAAUUUAAAAUUUUCUAACCUUAAGCUUAAAUAUAUUGUGGAGAAAGAUGCCAAAUUAUCCACUACAUAAGAUCUUCAUGGUGUCUUGGAUAGAUCACUGACAAGUAAUACUUACGCAGAUCACUUCCUCCCCAAGGCUUCAGCCUGCCAAUGGAAAGAGGUUUUGGUAUCAGGAUGACACCAAAAGCAAUGGCAACAAAAGCCAAAAUUGACAAAUGGAAUCUAAUUAAACUAAAGAGCUUCUGCACAGCAAAAGAAACUAUCAUCAGAGUGAACAGGCAACCUACAGAAUGGGAGAAAAUUCCUGCAAUCUAUCCAUCUGACAACGGGCUAAUAUCCAGAAUCUACAAGGAACUUAAACAAAUUUACAAGAAAAAAGCAAACAACCCCAUCAAAAAAUAGGUGAAGAAUAUGAACAGACACUUCUCAAAAGAAGACAUACAUGCAGCCAACAAACAUAUGAAAAAAAGCUUAUCAUCACUGGUCAUUAGAGAAAUGCAAAUCAAAACCACAAUGAGAUACCAUCUCAUGCCAGUUAGAAUGCAGAUCAUUAAAAAGUCAGGAAACAACAGGUGCUGGAGAAAUAGGAACGCUUUUACACUGUUGGUGGGAGUGUAAAUUAGUUCUACCAUUGUGGAAGACAGUGUGGCGAGGAUCUAGAAUCAAAAAUGCCUUUUGACCCAGCAAUCCCAUUACUGUGUAUAUACCCAAAGGAUUAUAAAUUAUUCUACUAUAAAGACAUAUGCACACAUAUGUUUAUUGCAGCACUAUUCACAAUAGCAAAGUCUUGAAACCCAAAUGCCCAUCAAUGAUAGACUGGAUUAAGCAAAUGUGGCACAUAUACACCACGGAAUACUAUGCAGCCAUGGAAAAGGAUGAGUUCAUGUCCUUUGUAGGGACAUGGAUGAAGCUGGAAACCAUCAUUCUCAGCAAACUAUCUCAGGGACAAAAAUACAAACACCACAUGUUCUCACUUAUAGGUGGGAAUUGAACAAUGAGAACACUUGGACACAGGAAGGGGAACAUCACACACUGGGGCCUGUUGAGGGGUGGUAGGUGGGGGGAGGGAUAGCAUUAGGAGAUAUACCUAAUGUAAAUGACGAGUUAAUGGGUGCAGCACACCAACAUGGCACAUGUAUACAUAUGUAACAAACCUGCACAUUGUGCACAUGUACCCUAGAACUUAAAGUAUAAUAAUUAAAAAAAAGAAAUUUGAUCCCCAAUGUUGAAGGUGGGGCCUAGUGGGAGAUGUUUGGGUCAUGGUGGUGGAUCUCUUAUUAAUAGACUGAUUUCCUGGGGUGAUGAGGGGAGUGAGUGAGUUCUUAGUUUGUUAGUUCUGCUAGAGAUGGUUGCAAAAAAUAGCUUGACACCUUCCCUCUUUCUCUUUUUUUCACUUCCUCUCCCACUGUGUGAUCUCUAUACUCUGCCUCUCCUUCCCCUUCAGCCAUAAGUGGAAGCAGCUUGAGGUCCUCAUCAGAUGUAGAUGCUGGCACCAUGCUUCUUGUACAGACUGAAGAGCCAUGAACUAAAUAAAUCUCCCUUCUUUGUAAAUUACCCAGUCUCGGGUAUUUCUUUGCAGCAAUGCUAACAGACUAAAACAUUACUACAAUUGCAUUGAUCUUCAGAUAGAUAACAAAAGAUGAGUCAAUUGACAAACCAUUGAAAAUUAAAUGUGAGAACCAGAGUGUCAGUCACUCACAAAGAGGUCCUCAUCUCUUGCAACAAGCAGGCAGAAAAAAUGGAGAUCAUUUUCAGGGUUCAGUAGUCACAGUGGCUGAACUUCAAUGAUACCUGCAUGCUUAAUCAAGGUAGCUAUGUUAAGCCAAAUCUGGAGCCAGAGUUGGAAAAAAUCUAAGGCUUUGACACAUGGGAUAAGAAUUCUAGGUGGAUGCCUCCAAAGAUCUGGACUUCAAAGAUAUCACUAAACUUUCUAACACUGCAGAAGUGACCAACCCCUCCCUAUUCAGGGCAGGAAGACUAUCGAAGAGGCGCACGAUCAGAAACUGCCUUCCCCUCUUUUCCUCAACACCAGGCCUAUAAAUAUGGUUAAGUCACAGCACAGCUCAGCCAGGGAAAUAAGGAAAGAAUGGAACAAUACCACAAAAGAACUGCAAGAUCUAACAGACCUUCACCAACAAGGGGAGAACCAUGGUACUUGUCCUGAGGGUGCUGGACCAGGAGGCUGGUAGGCAAGGCUGGAUAAGUGAAAGUUUAUUGACCUGAUCUGGAAAGAAAAGAAAGGGAGUUUGGCAGCAGGGAGGUCUAGGGUAGAGGCAUAUUGAUAGGCAUAUGGAGUGGGCAUAAAGUGUGAAGGUCUUUGUAUCUUGUGUUAACACCUGGUCAGUAGGUAAAAUGACUCACCCAGUUGACAAAUUAGCCUACUUCUUCUGUCAGCAACCACCCCAGUGCUGGCAUGAUGCCCACAAGAACAAAGUGGCCUGGCAGCAGAGAUAAAGGCUAUGCAAAAGCCCAAGCAACGUGGAACUCAUUUACCAAGACCAACCAGAUUUACUAGUUAUAAUGUGUAACUCCUCAAAAAAAUUACAAAUCAGUGCAUAGACCAUAUACAAAUAUACCCAUACACAUUUAGAAUUAAUGUGAUAUGAUUUCAUAUUGUAAUUCCUUAAACACAAAUUCAGUCAACUCUAUAUGAAUUGAAAUAAUACCAGUAAACAAUUCAGAUAUUUAUGUCAAAUUUCAUAUGUAAUAGAGACCACGUAAACAAUCAGUAGGGAUUUGUUUAACAAUUAUAAACCUAAAACCAGUUUAA